CUAUUUCGUGAUAAUGUAACACAAUAUGAGCAUCGCUCUGGGAAAACGGGGCUUAAUACAUGCUCGUUAAGUGUCGUCCCUGAUUAGUCCGUGCAGUCCCUGUGAUCACUGAGAAGAGACUUAAAACAAAAACAACAACAACAUGCACGCGGGAUGUGUCGUCCCUGAUUAGCCUAUGCGGACUGCACAUGCUAAUCUGGAAUAACACUUAACAAACAUGCAUUUAACCCCGUUUUCGUAGAGUGAGGUUCAUAUUCAUUAAUUUAUCUGUCCGUAUUUUGAGUUGUAUGUGUUGUUAAAUCGUUUAAUAUUUUGUUAGCAUGUACAGAAAACGGUUAUACAUACUGAAACUGCUGUAGGUCUAAUUGUUAUACAUACUGAAACUGCUGUAUGUCUUAUGGUUAUACAUACUGAAACUGCUGUAGGUGUAAUGGUUAUACAUACUGAAACUGGUGUAGGUGUAAUGGUUAUACAUACUGAAACUGGUGUAGGUCUAAUUUUUAUUCAUACUGAAACUGCUGUAUGUCUUAUGGUUAUACAUACUGAAACUGCUGUAGGUGUAAUGGUUAUACAUACUGAAACUGGUGUAGGUGUAAUGGUUAUACAUACUGAAACUGGUGUAGGUCUAAUGGUUAUACAUACUGAAACUGCUGUAGGUCUAAUUGUUAUACAUACUGAAACUGGUGUAGGUCUAAUAGUUAUACAUACUGAAACUGCUGUAUGUCUAAUGGUUAUACAUACUGAAACUGCUGUAGGUCUAAUGGUUAUACAUACUGAAACUGCUGUAUGUCUAACGGUUA
Molecule: long non-coding RNA, 800 nt
Organism: Dreissena polymorpha
Lineage: Eukaryota; Metazoa; Mollusca; Bivalvia; Myida; Dreissenidae
Exons: 3
Source: RefSeq, a predicted model, not a curated record